UAAUAAUACAAACCUCUAUUCCUAAUACGAUGGUGUCCCCCCGUUGGGCAAUUAAAAGGUUUACUCACCUGUUUCCAGUGAGGAAGCUCAACGCUGCUUAACUCUCUUCCUCCAGUGACUUCAAAGAGGAGGCAUGGCCUCCUCUGUCGAAGGUCCAAUCCAAAGUUCUUUUGAAUACACAUGGAGGGGCUGGGGGGUUAAUGAGACAAAUAGAAAGGAACACAGAGUGCUGGGAUGAGAGAGAGGCACACAGAGGGCUAGCGGGAG
Molecule: non-coding RNA, 267 nt
Organism: Pelobates cultripes (western spadefoot toad)
Lineage: Eukaryota; Metazoa; Chordata; Amphibia; Anura; Pelobatidae
Source: the annotation of a GenBank genome assembly